GGCGGGGCCCGGCCCCGGGUCCGUAACGGGGAGGGGAGCGCUUUGCCCACGCUUUCCAUUUCUUUUUUGGCCGUUUAACGAAGCCUUAAUAAGCGAAUUGUGCCUGGGAUGUUCUGUGUGGUCAAAGGCGAGCCCGACGCGCCGGCAACCGCGCUAUUGAGAUGCUUUCUGCGGUGCUGGAAUCGCGAAUUAAAGCAGCGCCCGGCCGGCCUGGCAGGAACGCUACACAACGGACCGACAGACACAGCGGGAUGGAGAACAGGAGACCAAACUUCUGCCGCCGCCUUCUACGGGAUCACAGAAUCACAGAACCAUUCAGACAGAUGCAGUUGGUUUACCCUUGCAGCGUCAGCCCUCUACAUUUCUAAUUAUACACGGGGACCAUAUUUCCACUUGACCCUUUGCAAGAAGAAACCACUUAUUGUUAUUCACAACACAUAUGUCAUUUCUUCCCUUUUACAAGCCUACAUCAAAUGGGCUGUUCCUGCAAAGAGAUGAACAACUUGAGCUUCAUAUGAAUUUUAAAGGGGGGAGGGUGCGAGCACAAGUCCUUGCAGAUGAAAGACCAUGCUUUACAGUUAUUUUAUUCACUGCAAAGGAGGUUUUAAUGCAAACAAAGCCAGCUGAGGUUGUUCUGAAACAGCAGUCUCUCACGGAAGCAGAAUUCCUGCAACUUUCAUUGCACAAGUGCAGGGCCUCGCUGAAAGCCAGCCUGCUUAUUACCACCAGCCAUCAGGCUUACUUUGUUUCACCGUUUUGGCACUACACAAACCCCAUAUUAAAGACACCUCACGUGCUUUCUCUUUCUUAUGAUAAAGUGCAGAGCUUUCAGGGGAAGGAGGAGGACAGGGAAGCCCAGCAGCCCCAGCUGGCCCCUCCUGCCCUCCCCAUCCCGAUCCAUCAUUGGGAGCAUCAUCCACAGCUCCACUCCCAGGCACCAAUCAGCCCCACAGGGACACACAGCAGUGCAGAACACAACCACAUGUUUUUGGAUUGGCAUUUUUUGGGAAAACUUUGGGUUUCUCCCAGUUUUGGAGGCCUAAAUAUAUAGAACUUUGCUGCCAAAUGCAUGGCCUCAGCCUCCCCAGUGCCUGCUUGCUGCAGCCUACUGGGAACCCACCACUGGUCCAAGAGAACACAGUGCCUUUACCUGACAAAGCAGAGGCUUCCAGGAACCCUUUCUGAUGAAGCUGCUGAGUCCCAGGCCAAGUUGACUGCUGCUAUUAUGCAGCUGGGGCUUUGCUGGGGAAAUGGUGCUAAUCUGCUCCGUGAAGCAGCAGCAACACACGUUUCCUCUGAACAACAACAGCUCAUGUCACGGAUUUCCUUUAAGUAAUAAUAAUAAAAAGCCUCUAAAGGGCAGCCCUGCUUCCCUUUCCCUGCACGAGCAUCCUGCCGCUGCUGCGGGAAGUCACAGAAUCAUGGCAUCACAGAAUGGCCUGGGUUGAAAUGGACCGCAGUGACCAUCGAGUUUCACCCCCCCUGCUAUGUGCAGGGUCGCCAACCAGCAGCCCAGGCUGCCCAGAGCCACAUCCAGCCUGGCCUUGAAUGCCUGCAGGGAUGGGGCACCCACACGUCACGGCUGCGCGGUGGCUGUCACCCACCAGAGACCACCUCCUGCACAGCCAACCAGCUGAGCUCCCCAUCUCACAGCCAGAAGUCAGUCUGUGCCCCACACGACCCCUGGCCCCAGAUUUUAUCCAGCAGCCCAUUUUUACCCACUGCCCUCCCGACGCCACGUGUUCCCCGGCAGGGCAGGGGCAGCACCGCGCCGUCCCCACAGCCCUGCAUUUCUAAGGGAAAAGCACUGCUUUGUGAGGAGCUUUUUGACAGUGAUCCUUUGCUGCGAGGCGCACGCAGAUACCAUGGUGACAGACACCUUCCCUUAUCGCGAAAGCAAACAGGAACUCAGGAAUUUGUGUUUUAAGGCCAAACUAUAUAUAGGAGCGACGCACGCUCGACAUCUUGCCGCUGUUUCCUAUGAGUGCUGUUUGCCUGAUGAAACCCCGCAGCCCGGCCAGCACAGCAGGCACCGCUCGGCCUUUUGGGGCUGCGUUGGGGAGACUCAGCAAACUCCAUUUGCAUUGGCAGGUUUCAGUAUUUAGAUUUAGCACGUUAAUCCUUUGCUUUAUUUAGAGUAAGGACGGGGGGGUGUGAAGGAAGAGGGGGAAAUCACACCCUGCACACUGCGGUCCCACUGUAGCUCUGCUGCAGGCAGAGGAGAGGCAGAGGGCUUCUCCUAACCAUUGCUUUGGGCUCCUUUUUAAGCAUCUCAGGCUGAACUCGGUGACAGAUUCCCCUUCUCCCAUCUGGGCAAAAUUCAUAGAACGGCUCAGAUUGGAGGGGAUCACAGAGAUCAUCGAGCUCCAAGCUCCUGCCCUGGGCAGAUAAUGGCAGAAAAGGGAGGAAAAAACACCUCUGUUUUCAGAAGCACCCACAGCACCUCCCUGCUCCGGGUGGAUUACGGAGGAAACAAGGAAGGAACAAAUCCCCUUCCAUUGAAGGUAUUUCUUGGCCGUUUCAAUAGGGCAGAAUGGCAGCCUUCUGGGAGCUGUGCUUCUGGAGGCCAAACCAGCAGUCAGGACAGCUAAUUUUAUUCCCAAGCAGUGUGAAAUGUGCUGAUACACACAGCAGAGCUUUUAUCACUGCUUUGGCAAGCUGGGGAUUACCACCCAAGUAUGGUUAAAGUGGAAUUACACUGAAUUCAGUGGGAAGCAAACACCGCCUCAUCGCUUUAACAAAGGUGCAUUAAAGGCAAUUACCAAAAAACACUCUUCAAGGAGUAAAUGGGCUGCAAUGAGGCCGUCAGCAGCCCAGCAGAGGGGCUCUGCUCCUCCUUAACCCCCCCGAGGAGAUGCUGGGUGCCACAGGGAACCAAUCCUCCCUCCUCCUUUAUGAAGGCAGCGAUGUGCCACUGUCACACGCUUUCCCAGCAAGGACACAUCGCUGGGGUUGGAUGAAACCAGUGGGGCUGUGAGUUCCCCUUCCUCUGUUUUCUCUCCUGGCUCCAGGAGGGCCAGCAAACACAUUGGGUAAACACGGUGCGAGGUCAGCAGGGAUCCCCUUAUCUCUGCACAGGGCUCUGGAAUUCGGUGUAAUCUCCAAGGCCACGUGGAGGGAAAAAAAAAAAGCCAUUUAUAAACUGGUUUCACAGGCACAUUUGGUAAGGAAUGUGAGCGAGGAAAUAGCUGGAAUAGUUCACAUGCACGACGCCAGCGCAGCACCACCGCAUCUUCAUGUUUUUGCAGCCACUCUAAACCUAUUAACCGAGGAAUUCCAGCAUGCACAGAGGAGGUCACGAAGCCAAAGAGCAGUUCUGUAAUGCAAACCCUCCUGCCCUACUUCUCCGUGUGCACGGGGAGCAGAGGGCAGCGGGAUGGGAGGAACCGGCCCUGUAAUUACGUGUCAGUGAGCUGAAGCUGCUGCCUCCACUGCCCUGUGGGUGCUGUGCAGGGCACAGAAUCACAGCGCCACAGAAGCAUUAAGGUUGGCAAAGACCUCCCAGAUCCCCAACCCCAGCCCAACAACCACGUCCCCCAGGGCCACAUCUCCAUGGUGCUGAACGCCCCCAGGGACGGUGACCCCACCAUCCCCUGGGCAGCUCUGCCACCGCCUUUUGGAGAAGGAAUGUUUCUCAGUGCCCCCUGAACCUCCUCUUCCCCAGACUGACCCCUCCCACUCCCUCAGCCGCCCCCCAUAGCAUUGUCCUCCAGACCCCUCACAGCUCCGUUGCCCUUCUCCAGACACACUCCAGGACCUCCAUGUCUUUCCAGUAGCGGGGAGGCACAGCACUGAGCACACGGGGACCAUCACUGGGAGCUGAAGGCACCAAGGAAAACAGCAGUGCCCUGGUGCAUCCCUGCAGCCCAAGCUCAAGUAGAUGACAUCUGGAGUACAAACCAACGCUCAGCAAUUUCUCCAGAGGAGUCUUCCUGGUUGGAGAUGCUCCUGUAGGUGCCCUCCAAUGCAUGGCCCCAGCUGCACCACUCUGCCCAAGCACCACCAAAUCCACCGCCGCCACUGCUUCCCACCUCCCAGCCAAGGGCAAUUAUCUCCUGCUAUUCCUUUGCCUCUGCGUCUUUAUGAGCUGCUCAGCAUUGAGAUGCAGUUCAGGUUCACAGGAGUACAGGCUGCUGCUUUGCUUUUCCCUAAUGAUUUAUGAUGUGCUUAACGCAGCCGUUUGCAGGAACGUGCUGCGGAGCAGCAGCGGGGCUGUGCCCAAAGCCCCCAAACUGCUCUCCCAGGCCUACAGGACAGAUGCUCAAUGGAGGGCAGAUCCCAGCUCCAAGCCUGCCUGGGGGCUGCAGGGGCUGAGCCCUGUGUGCCACCUGCUGAGGCUGCUCGCCCUGCUGUGGCCCUUGGGAUGUGCCCCAGAGCCAAGGGCUGCCCUUGGCCAUGUUAGAAUCUGUUCAGCCCUUGCUGUAAAGUUCCCAAUCUGUAUUCCAAGUCAGAAAUGUAACUUCACAAAAGAAAACUCAAAACAACCAACCCCCGAAACCAACCAAAAAAACACCCAACACAACCGCACGCAAACCCAAGGAAAAUAAAAUACAUAACUACAGCACAUGUAGCUGUGAGGAAACAAAACCUCUUCCCUGAUGAUGAAUUAUACUUUGCUCGCAACAGAUGCAGCUCUUUAUAUUUGUUUUCUGCAUAAAUCUACAUAUUAGCCUGAAAGCAAUUGUGUGUGCUUUGUCUUGCCUUGGUUACAUCAGUCACUGCUCAUUUUAGCUGAUUGCCUUUGAGUGCUGGGCUGGGUGCUCUGAGCACAGCUUAGCUCCUCAAAACAGGCCUGUCAUGGAGCUUUUCCAGCACCAAAAGUGCCUGGUGCUUCCCCAGGGGCCGUGCUGUGCCACCUUGUGCCAUGCCAUCCCAUAGGAUCUCAUGCCAUGCCAUGCCAUGCCCAACAGGGCUGGAGCUGCCUCUCCAUCACACAGGUAUGGGAGCUGCCAAGGUCUGCUCCUGCAAUGGCACUUAUCGCCCACUUCUAAUUGAUUGCUGUCGUUUAAUGAGUUGUAUUACUUGGAAAUGCCUGCUGCAUCCCAGGCCCUGCUGUGGUUGGUGAAGGAGAAGCAUGGAGUGACUGCGCCCACUGCAGCCCCAAUGUCCUUCACAGAGGCGCAGGGAUGCAGCUGGUGGGGGUACAGUGCAGCCACCCCGAGAAAGGGAAACUCACGGGGACCCAAUGCAAUUAUGUUAUUAAACGGCUCGUAACUCCCAGGGAAAAUUUAUUUCCCUCUCCUCGAGGAGUGUUAUUUAAUAUCCGUGUGCUGGAAAUCAAAGUGAUGAAGGAAGUCAACAAUUACUGCAGUGCUUCGUUAAGGGGAACGUGCCCGUCCUACACCCUCACCCUGGCCCCGUGUGCGAUGGAAGCAGCUCAGGGGUUGGGGUCACCACAUUGGGCUCGUGUUGGGCCACGGCCUGCCCACGGCCAGGAGGAUGCAGGGAAACGUUUCCUUAAUUAAUUGAGAAUUUGGAAGAUCUGCAGCCGACAGCUCCAAUGCGCUGAGCAGUGGGUCGAACGUGUGCUGAACUCAGUGCUGGGGGAGGACGGCAAAAAAUAGAAAGCAAAUUGCCGUGACCUAUUCCUGUAAUGAAAAGGUCUAUUUCUAAUCCGUGCGCUAUUUAAGCGGAGGUAUUUCCAGCUAAUCUCCAACCAUAACCCACUUAGGCAGAGCUGUGUGCACGAAGCAGUGGCUGCGCCCUCAGCGCGGUGCAGCAGGACAGACUGACACUGCUGGGUUGUGAUGGGGAACAGAGAGCUGCUGCUGGGCAAAGAGCAAUCCCAGCCCUCUGGGCCGUCCCAGUGGGUGGGUGGGGGGGAGCUGACCCUGCUGGGAUGGGAUCCUCCUGCCUGGGCUGCUCGGAUGAGAGCUCCGUGUCCCAAUCUCUGCUGCUACCGUCGGGGUCAUGCUGUGUCUGAAGCAAGACGAGAGGUGCCCCAAGACAACACCUGAACACACCGGCUGUGCCUCCUAAAUGCCUUACAGAUCAGCGUGCCCAGCACAGCAGCUCCAUGACAGAAGCAGCAAUAGAUGGGGCUCAGCUCCCGAGAGCUCCUGCUGUAAGUCCUGCAAGGCACAAACCUCAGCUGUUCCGAAGGUGCGAGGUAGGCGGGCUGGGUAUUUUUGAACACGCUGCAAGAAAGCCUGGUGUCAACAUUUGCAUUCCUCCUGCGGUGUUACAAAGCCUGAUCCCAUAUUAAACAGCAGAAAAACCUGAAGCCGACUUCCAUGACCCACCCAGACUAGGUAAGAUGGGGAAGGCACUGAGGGAGCAGAAGGCGAGGAGGAGGCAGGAGGGGAUGGGCUGCUGCGCUCUGCCCUGCUGCUGACCCAGGGGGUUCCCACUGACACUGGAACCAGUGGCACAGAAAGCCAAUAAUCCUCUUACCGGCCUGGCACUGCCCGUGCUGCGCUCCAAUUAGCAGCCCAGCCUCGCCGGGGUUGUUAUUAAUUACGGGAGGAAGAGGGAUGGAGGAGAUUUAGAACACGUCUGCUGAGGGAAAGGAGGGCAGAGGGGAAAACGCUUUGCAGGUCUGAGCUGUUCCACUCUCACUGUGCUCUCAUUCUGCCCCCAGAACGGAGCCCCUCCCCCAUGCAGUGCAUAAGAUGCUACACAAAAUACACCCCAGGUGCUGCUGCUGCUCCGUUUGUCACCGUUCCAUUUCAGUAUUCCCAGAUGAUUUUCAACCCUGGAGAAAAGCCAGAGUCCCCCACCCCAGGCAGGCGCAGCGGGAGCAGCCAUCCUCCCCCAGCAAGAGGGCUGCACGCCUCAGGAAACUCAUCCCAAAGCCUCAGCAGACUGCACAGCCCUCCCAGUUAACAGCAAGGGACCCAAAGUCACGAGAACGUAAGUGAGGCACGAGGAGUCAGCUGGGUGGCACAGGGAACAGCUUUGCUGAGCACAAAGCUCUGCUUCCCACCGCACUGCCAGCUAAAAUUGGGCACGUCUCUAAAGGGACGUGGUGCUUAAAAAUAGGGUUCGUAGUCCCAAAGGCUUUUAAAGAGAGCUCAAGGCGGUUGCGUGCAUCACACCCCAUAGGAGGAGACGCAGGUUGGGGUAGCACCUGCCCAGCACCCCAAAGCUGGGGUGGGAUCCCCCUCUGUUGGGCAGCACUCAUUGCCCUAACCCUUACCAUGCAGCCUCUGUUCUGCCACCCCUCUCCCUGCUUCCACUGACGUACCGUGCAUGACACAGCACAGUUUUGCAAGGCACGAUGCGUGCCACACUUAUCUCUGCAGUGCCACAGACGUGGCCAGCACUGGUUCAGGGCCACGGGUCGCUGCCAUGCAGCCCAGCACCUGCCGUCACAGCAACACAAUAUCUGCUCCUCCUUGCACACGGGGACUGCAGGCAAAAAGCAGAACCUAUUGCAACGAGAUCUCUCUCUCUGUGAGGCAGUCGGAUGCCCAAAGGCUCUCAUUUACACUCACAAACGACCGCCGCUUUCGAGCCAUCCUGGAUUGCUUUGCGCAAUCUCCGCUGCCAGACACACAGGUCAAGUCCAAGUCACACUUAUCAAGAAACAAAAUAAGGUUAAAAAUAUUGUCUCAGUGUGCAGGAUGGUCUCUCUGGAGGCUCCCGUGGCUUUGCCUGAAAUACACCCAACGUCACUGCAGGAUGUACCCACACACCUUGCAGGCUGCCGAAUCGCAUCUGCUACAGAAAGCCCCGGCUCCUGAGCCUGGCUCCAGCCCUGCACGCUGCUGAAGGCACUGGGGCUGUGCUGAGGUCUGAGCUGGGUCAGGACCAGGACCGGGGGAGCUGAGGGUCUUCACACCGGGCAGGGAUUUUCUACCUGCACCCUCAGGCAUUCGCACCGUUGGCGUCAUCUGCCUCCCAAACCACAGUUCUGCACAGGAAGGGAACGAGCUGCCCGCAAGCACCGGAUGCGCACCAUACUCACGUUCAUCUUCCAGAGCCGCCCUCCUCUUUCAAGCCAUUUUGUGAGAAAGCCCCGUCGCUCACCGCCGCCUACGGCAUCGCUGCCUGCGUGCCCUGCAAGGACCCGGGCUCCAGAGCAGCCCUUAAUCCAUCCAGCACCAAAGCUCCGGGCUCAGCCCUGCAGCUGCGGGAUGCCCGGUGCCACCAAGGCGCUCCCCUCGGCUCCAGCCCGCGACGGACGGAGGUCCCCAGGCAGUGCGGAGCUCUCCAAAGCCGUCCCUUUUACGUUCUCCGACCUUGCGAGGAAAAUCCUGUCUCGUUUGAAUUAUUCAUCAUACUUUCUGUUCUGCCAGCUCCGGCAUACGUUCUGAAUCAUUAAUAUGUCAUGACUUCUUAUCUCUGUUUUUCUUUUUGACUUUUAUCUUCUCUCCUCCUUGAAAAAUAACGCGAUCACCGCUGUGUUAAUUAGCAUCCAUCUGAUUUACCAAAUCAAAAGCCGUCUCCGUCCUGAUGCACACCCUUCCUUGUGGGAAAUACCACUUUAACAGCUCUGGGAACUGGGCUAGCGCUGGCUGGUUCUAUCUAAAGCACUGCAAAACAUGUUUGGAUUUCACUUUUUGGCAGCGUUUCCUGAGCCUGCAAGCCGGUCUGGUGAUGGAAAGCCGGGUAGGCUUCCAGGAUCAUAAAAGAAGAACAAGGUAACGGCGCUGGGAGUGCUGUCAGACAGCUCGUUUUCCUCCUUUAUAGAGCUGAUGGCAAACCACUCCAAGCUACGGGCAGCAAGGGCAGCAGGGCCGGCUUGGCUCAGUGCUGCACUACCGCAGUGGGGACACAGCUGCUGCCAACAGCGGGAGCUGACCCUACAGCAUGCACCUGGACUCACACCUGUCCUAUGGGGCCCGCUGUACUUUGGGAAAGCAGUGAACCACCCCCUGAAUCCUCCCUGCCCCGGCUUGGCUCUCCCUUAUUAAUUUUGAGUCGGAUCCAACAAGCAGCCCUUCCCACAGCUCCUGGCUGGCAGAGCUGCAUUGCCCACCCCGUUCUCCAAAGAGCUAAAUGACAUUUCAGCGGCAGGAAGCUCCUGCCAAUAACAUCACAGCCCGGCCUCGUUGCUUUCAUGAGCCCCUCCAUUAUGCUCUGUGCUGGAGGUGGCUCCAAGAGGAGCCAGGGCUGGGGCUCAGCCCGGCCCCAGUGCCUGCAAUCAGGGCUGGGAGCGGACGUAACCCACCCCGUUCCCAACACAUUCCUUUCUGUACAGAUUUGACAUAGGAACCGCACCCGGUUUCAUAAAUAAAUGCAGCGGGAACCUGAACUAUUCAGCCCGCUGACCUGAA
Molecule: long non-coding RNA, 9221 nt
Organism: Gallus gallus (chicken)
Lineage: Eukaryota; Metazoa; Chordata; Aves; Galliformes; Phasianidae
Exons: 4
Source: RefSeq, a predicted model, not a curated record